GACUGAUGUCAAGGGUUAGUGCGAGGUAACGAAUCAAUAACCCUUGAAUUGUGAAGAUGCAGUCUUUUUUAAUCAUGGCAUGUCAUUACCUUGAAAUUGUACUGCCGACGUCAGGGUGGAAAUUUGGUACACAUCGACAAUGCACAAGAAAACGAUUGGUUAUCUUUAAAGUACAGAACAGGUUGACUAUCAUAAUUACCAAACAGAAGUGGGGUGAUACUCAGAACAAACUCUUGUGUAUCAAAUUAGUUGAGAGAUGUAAACACCAUAUGCAGUAUCCACAUGGAUUGGAAUUACCGACCAGGCAAUGGAAGGUGUGUCGAGGUCAGUAACUACUGGAGAGAGAAUGCCAUACACCAACUGGGGAGGACCCCCAGACAAUUACAGAGGAAAUCAACAUUGCAGAACGUUGAACUAUGGAGGUAGAGGCCGCUGGGAUGACGAUACCUACUCUAAGAAAUUUACCUUCAUCUGCGAAGUUUCAGGUUACUGAUACGGAAUAGAGGGAUGCCUUGCAGCCAUUUAGCAAUGUCUGUGCAUAAUAAAAUGAUCAUUGUAAUAUG
Molecule: RNA transcript, 563 nt
Organism: Ostrea edulis (European flat oyster)
Lineage: Eukaryota; Metazoa; Mollusca; Bivalvia; Ostreida; Ostreidae
Gene name: mannose-binding protein C-like
Exons: 4
Source: RefSeq, a predicted model, not a curated record